CGGGUGAGUAACACGUGAGUGACCUGCCUUUUAGACUGGAACAACUUACCGAAAGGUGAGCUAAUGCCGGAUGAGUUAUAUAAGUGCAUGUUUAUAUAGGAAAAGUUGGGGAGACCUGACGCUGAAAGAUGGACUCGCGUCCCAUUAGCUAGUUGGUAGGGUAAUGGCCUACCAAGGCGACGAUGGGUAGCCGGCCUGAGAGGGUGGCCGGCCACACUAAGACUGAGACACGGCCCAGACUCCUACGGAAGGCAGCAG
This 258-nucleotide ribosomal RNA is filed under the name uncultured bacterium. Its description in RNAcentral is "partial 16S ribosomal RNA". It matches the Rfam family "Bacterial small subunit ribosomal RNA", at positions 103 to 354 of the family's 1533-position model. The record is from RNAcentral.